Molecule: ribosomal RNA, 454 nt
Filed under: uncultured bacterium
Lineage: Bacteria
Description: bacterial SSU rRNA
Rfam family: Bacterial small subunit ribosomal RNA
Source: RNAcentral
GAUGAACGCUGGCGGCGUGCCUAAUACAUGCAAGUCGAGCGGAAACACUUCGGGUGUCGAGCGGCGGACGGGUGAGUAACGCGUAGAAACAUACCCCAGACUGAGGGAUAAGCACUGGAAACGGUGUCUAAUACCGCAUACGGUCUUCGGAUUAAAGCCUUCGGGCGGUUUGGGAAUGGUCUACGUCAGAUUAGCUAGUUGGUGAGGUAAAGGCUUACCAAGGCGAUGAUCUGUAGCUGGUUUGAGAGGAUGAUCAGCCACACUGGAACUGAGACACGGUCCAGACUCCUACGGGAGGCAGCAGUAGGGAAUUUUCCACAAUGGGGGCAACCCUGAUGGAGCAACGCCGCGUGCAGGAUGAAGGCCUUCGGGUUGUAAACUGCUUUUGUGAGUGAAGAUAUGACGGUAACUUACGAAUAAGGGACUGCUAACUACGUGCCAGCCGCCGCGGAAU